This 48-nucleotide transfer RNA is filed under the name Pseudonaja textilis. Its description in RNAcentral is "partial transfer RNA-His". The record is from RNAcentral. Lineage: Eukaryota; Metazoa; Chordata; Lepidosauria; Squamata; Elapidae.
CGUGUAUGUAAUUUAAAAAAAAUACCAAGCUGUGACCUUGACAAUAGG